AAUAGAUACCCGGGUAGUCCACGCCGUAAACGAUGAGUGCUAAGUGUUAGGGGGUUUCCGCCCCUUAGUGCUGCAGCUAACGCAUUAAGCACUCCGCCUGGGGAGUACGGUCGCAAGACUGAAACUCAAAGGAAUUGACGGGGGCCCGCACAAGCGGUGGAGCAUGUGGUUUAAUUCGAAGCAACGCGAAGAACCUUACCAGGUCUUGACAUCCCAUUGACCACUAUGGAGACAUAGUUUUCCCUUCGGGGACAACGGUGACAGGUGGUGCAUGGUUGUCGUCAGCUCGUGUCGUGAGAUGUUGGGUUAAGUCCCGCAACGAGCGCAACCCUUGUUCUUAGUUGCCAUCAUUUAGUUGGGCACUCUAAGGAGACUGCCGGUGACAAACCGGAGGAAGGUGGGGAUGACGUCAAAUCAUCAUGCCCCUUAUGACCUGGGCUACACACGUGCUACAAUGGACGGUACAAACGGUUGCCAACCCGCGAGGGGGAGCUAAUCCGAUAAAACCGUUCUCAGUUCGGAUUGUAGGCUGCAACUCGCCUACAUGAAGGACC
Molecule: ribosomal RNA, 554 nt
Filed under: uncultured bacterium
Lineage: Bacteria
Description: bacterial SSU rRNA
Rfam family: Bacterial small subunit ribosomal RNA
Source: RNAcentral